This 274-nucleotide ribosomal RNA is filed under the name uncultured bacterium. RNAcentral describes it as "partial 16S ribosomal RNA". It matches the Rfam family "Bacterial small subunit ribosomal RNA", at positions 523 to 796 of the family's 1533-position model. The record is from RNAcentral.
AUACGGAGGGUGCAAGCGUUACUCGGAAUUACUGGGCGUAAAGGACGCGUAGGCGGUUUAGAAAGUCAGAUGCGAAAGCCUAUGGCUUAACCAUAGAACUGCAUCUGAAACUCCUAGACUAGAGUGAGGGAGAGGUCAGUGGAAUUAGUGGUGUAGGGGUAAAAUCCGUAGAGAUCACUAGGAAUACUCAUAGCGAAGGCGACUGACUGGAACUUUACUGACGCUGAGGCGUGAAAGCGUGGGGAGCAAACAGGAUUAGAAACCCCGGUAGUCC